CCUACGGGAGGCAGCAGUGGGGGAUAUUGCACAAUGGGGGAAACCCUGAUGCAGCGACGCCGCGUGGGGGAAGACUCGCCUCUGCGCGGAAAGCCCUGUCAGCAGGGAAGAAAAUGACGGUACCUGAAGCCGAAGCCCCGGCUAACUACGUGCCAGCAGCCGCGGUAAUACGUCGGGGGCAAGCGUUAUCCGGAUUUACUGGGUGUAAAGGGGGCGUAGGUGGUUUCUUAAGUCAGAGGUGAAAGGCUACGGCUCAACCGUAGUAAGCCUUUGAAACUGGGGAACUUGAGUGCAGGAGAGGAGAGGGGAAUUCGUAGUGUAGCGGUGAAAUGCGUAGAUAUUAGGAGGAACACCAGUUGCGAAGGCGGCUCUCCGGACUGUAACUGACACUGAGGCACGAAAGCGUGGGGAGCAAACAGGAUUAGAUACCCUUGUAGUC
This 439-nucleotide ribosomal RNA is filed under the name uncultured bacterium. RNAcentral's name for it is "partial 16S ribosomal RNA". It matches the Rfam family "Bacterial small subunit ribosomal RNA", at positions 338 to 795 of the family's 1533-position model. The record is from RNAcentral.